This 2358-nucleotide long non-coding RNA is filed under the name Homo sapiens (human). RNAcentral's name for it is "non-protein coding lnc-RPP40-7:1". The record is from RNAcentral. Lineage: Eukaryota; Metazoa; Chordata; Mammalia; Primates; Hominidae.
AGGCUGUGAUGGGGAGAGCUGGCAGGAGCCUAGGAGUGGGACUCUGAGAUGACCCAGUAUGCAUCAGACAACAGUGCCCUGGAGAGACCCUCAAAGGUCUCUUGAGCCCACACAAGGGGACCCUCCCAGAGAGAGAGUUUGACUGUCAGGACAGCUCUCCCACUCUGCAGCGCCGCAGGGACUCCUCACCACCUCUGUUGUCCCUGUUCAGCCAAAUACUCCAUCUAAUCCUCCUAUCUCUGCCUGUCUUCCAGGCCGCUAUCUUUUCUUUCAUUUUCCUUUUCAAACUUGAAUCUGUUUUCCUCCCUUUCAUUUGCUUAUCUAUUGCUUUCUCCUUGUUUUUUCUUAUUACCUUUUUUCCCCUCAAAAUUGAAGGGAUACUGAGAAUUCCCCCCCAAUCCCCCCCUCUUUUUUUUUAAAAAACAGGAUCUCUCUCUGUUGCCCAGGCUGCAGUGCAGUGGUGCAACCAGAGCUCAUUUGCUGCCUCAACCUCCCAGGCUCCAGCAAGCCUCCCACCUCAGCCUCCUGAGUAGCUAUGACUGCAGGCAUUCACCACUAUGCCCAGUGAAUUUUUUAUUUUUUAAUGUUUUUGUAGAGAUGGGGUCUUGCUAUGUUGCUCAGGCUGGUCUUGAAUUUCUUGCCUCAAGUGAUCCUCCAGCCUCUGCCUCCCAAUGUGCUGGGAUUACAGGCAUAAGCCGCAGUGCCCAGACAUUUCUUCCCAUUAAAUUAAAUUAAUUAAUUAAUUUAGAGACAGGGUCUGGCUCUGUUGCCCAGGCUGGGGUGCGGUGGCACAAUCAGAGCUCACUACAUUUGCAAUCUCUGGGGCUCAAGCAAUCCUCCCGCCUCAGCCUCCUGAGUAGCUGGAACUACAAGCAUGCACCAUCAUGCUUAGCUAAUUUUUGUACUUUUUGUAGAGACAGGAUCUUGCUAUGUUGCCCAGGCCAGUCCCAAACUCCUUGGCUCAAGUGAUCCUCCUGUCUCAGCCUCGACCUCAUGUAAUUGACACCGAAAAGAAAUAAAACAUUACCAUCUUCCCCCUCCUUCCACAGAUUACUAGUCCCUUGAAUUUUCUUGCAUAUUAAUUUUUGCAGGAGGCAAUGAUUUCUUUUUUUUUUUUGAGACAGAGUCUUUCUCUGUCACUCAGGCUGGAGUGCAGUGGUGCGAUGUUGGCUCACUGCAACCUGCAUCUCGGCUCACUGCUCAAGUGAUCUGCCUACCUCAGCCUCCCAAAAUGCUGGGAUUACAGGCAUGAGCCACCAUGCCCGGCCAGGAGGCAACAUUUCAAGACAUGUUUUUUGGAUCCAUAAUGGAAGGGGAUGAGACACAGAGGGAGCCAGGGGCACCUGACAUAGACCCUGGAAUUCUUACCAUUUGAAUUAGAUCAUGAUAGCCCCUUUAAAAGGCAUGCUGGCUUAAGCUGAAGGUGUUAAGUGGUCUUGAAAAAGACAAAUACAAUCGUACAAUGUAUUACCAGAAGUGUAACGUUCCGGACACAGGAGAAGUCAAGCAAUGGAGUAUUCGCACUAGUCAGGAUAGCACACUCAAUGCUGAGCAUCGUUACGGAAUGAGCAAAGGAAUACCUGCACUUGUUCCAGGCCCAGACGUUGAAAACAUGCAAAGAAGCAGCAAACAACAGUGGACCGGUAAUCUCAUCAUUCCAAACAACCACUUUUAACUUUUUUUGGAAAUAUUUUUCCAGGAUAUUUGCUAAAUAGGUGUUAAAAACUAAGAGGGAGAGCAAGGCGGAAUGUGUGCAGAGGAAAGUCACCAGAACGGGGUGGUGAGUGAGGCAUGGAAUUGCAACUGUGUAAAGAGCUAUGUCAGGCGAGGGAGGGAGGCCAACUCUUCUGUGUUGUUUCAGAGAAUACUAUUGGAAUCACAGAGAUAGCCUCAGCCUCCUGAGUAGCUGGGAUUAUAGGCAUGCACCAGCACGCCAGGCUAAUUUUGUAUUUUUAGUAGAGACGGGGUUUCACCAUGUUGGUCAGGCUGGUCUUGAACUCCUGACCUUGUGAUCUGCUCGCCUCAGCCUCCCAAAGUGCUGGGAUCACAGGCAUGAGCCACCGUGCCUGGCCAGUCUUCACAUUUCCUUGACUCUUCACUCUGCUUCUGUAUAGUUUACCCCCAGCAAAGGUUUGUAAUCUCAGGCUGGUUUCACUGUGCCACCCAGAACCCACCUUUAUCAUUUUCCAGACUACCAGUGGUUGGAGACACUUGUUCUGGUAAUAUCUCCAGCAAAGCCUCAUCAGAAAAAAUAUAUUUCUUAUAAGAAAAUUGUCUGAUCCUUUCAGAAUAGAAAAGCUUUUGGGUUUUUGGAUGUUUCAAGGUACCUGUACUAUUGUCUCUACCUUUUUUUUUGAG